CACCACGCCUGGCUGUAAAUUAGUCUUUAAUUUAAACAUUUCCUCAGCUCACUCUCUGCACCUGAUUUGGAUAGAAUAGGGUAGGAGUGUUUGAACUUUAAAUAUUAUUUUAAAGAGGUGGAUUUAUUCAAAGCAUGGAAAACGUUAGUUGUACCUUUCCUUCCUAAGGCGCUUUCUAAGGAAUCCAGCUUACAAUUUCUGUAGCUAUACUUUAUUUCCAGUCCCAAUCAGUCAUCAGGAUAUAGGAGUUUUAUUGAUCUGUGCAGUGUAUUCUAGUUAAAAAAAUUAUGCCAAAUCAAAUAAUUGAAUAGAUGCCCCAGUCAAAAUUCUCUAAACAUUACUGUUAUGUAUAGGCCAUACUAUAUAUACAAAGUAAAUCAUGAAUCAUUAAACACUAAACAUUACUAUUACGUAUAGGCCAUACUACAUAUACAAAGUAAAUCAUGAACCAUUAAACAGAACCAUGCAAUGCUUUUCUUUGUGAACCAGUGAUCAAAACCAAGCCCACGAGAACUAGAAAGUCUUAGGUCAAAUCAGUGUUAUUGGAGAAGAGAUCAAGUUAUUUGACCUUUUCUCGGAGACAAUUUAAGUCUGACACAUGAUCUUUACCCCCUGGAGAAGCAAAUUCGCAACUCACUGCACUAGAUUCACCCUGCAAUACAAUCUCUGAAAAUACACCUUCCACCUUCCAAACAAGUAUCAGAAGAUGAACUGCAUUCCAUUCAAAUCAUAAAAACUAUUUUGUACCGGUCAUCAGAAGCUAAUUCUGUACUUAUCGCACCUUGAGGGAGAUCUGCUGCUGCAUGAGAUAGACACAAGGGGCAAUUUAUUCAUGGAGAAGUGAGAGCAGCAGGAUGGAAAUGGGGGAAAGAACUUUAUCCCGGCCACUUCUGGGAGAGGGCAGAACAUCUCUGAUGGAAACGGGUGUUCCUGAUUCUAAGAAAUAAAUGCUCUGCUGUGUUGACAUGAAGCUACUCUGUUCAAAUUCAAGGGCAACAACAUUUUAUACAGCCUUACUCUCCCAAGAGAUGGGUUAAAAAACACACAUUGAGACAUAUUUUAGUAUGGGGUGGAGCUCCAUGUAUGUCGACAACAGGCUAGUAAUGCGAAAGAUGUGUAAUAUAUAAUAAAGCUGCAGAGAAUAAAUCCAAACCAUGAGAUUCUAUUCCUAUUUCUUAAAUACAGUCUGAUUGUGAAAUCAUUCUCCUAUACUCCUUUGUAAUUUUUUGGAGUAUUUUCAGGAAUUGCUGAUAUUUUACUCACAACAAAAAAAUACACAAAAUGAAUAACAAGUCAUAAAUAAAUCGAAAACAGGGAGUUUAUCUGUAAUGAUCUUUCCUAAGCCAUGGAUGGCAGAGCUAAAAUCUUGCCACCUCCUACAUUUGAUGAAUGAUACUGUGAUACUGCUGAUUUUGGUCUUAAUUUUUUAUUUUUGUUUUUAUUUAUUUUUAAGACCGAUUCUUGCUCUAUUGCCUAGGCUGGAGUGCAGUGGCACAAUCUCUACUCACUGCAACCUCCACCUGCCGGAUUCAAGGGAUUCUCCUGCCUCAGCCUCCCGAGUACAGGUGCCCACCCCACGCCCGGCUAAUUUUUUGUAUUUUUAGUACAGACGGGGUUUCACCGUGUUAGCCAGGAUGGUAUCAAUCUCCUCACCUUGUGAUCCACCCGCCUCGGCCUCCCAAAGUGCUGGGAUUAUAGGCGUGAGCCACAGCGCCCGGCUUUGGUCUUAAUUUUUUUUAAAAAGGGUCCUACGUUAUCACUGUAGCCUAAAACUAGAAAUGAAAAACAAAACAAAACAAAAAAAAACAGACUAUUGAGGGUUUCUUUCAUAAGGAAUUUCACCCAUUCUACUUUUGGAAAAAUGAAUGUUUGGAAAAUAUGCAAUUAGGUAUCAUCUUGGAUCAUAAAGAAAUUUGAAAGGAAAUUUUUAGAAGUUUUGAUUUUCUCAGUUUUUGCAACAGAUACUAAGCAUCUAAUCAUCCCUUGUGUGAAGAAAAGAAGAAGCUUCUUUUGACAAUGAUGUGUCUCAUUCUCAGGCUCUGUUUCUCUAACACGGGAUGCUGCAGAAGCAGCCACAUCUCCACCUUCCCACGACGCGGUUUUGUGUUUGGAGAGUACAGCAGCAGUUUAGGCAGCAACUAAGAACCAAGGAAACGUAUUCGUAAAUGCUCUUUGCCACAACUUCAUCUCCCUUUUCUCCCCGUCACCUCAAAAAACCCCCACACAGCCAACGAUAGACACAAUGCUCCUAGAAAAGGAAAAAGAAAAGGAGGAGGAGAAGACAAUACCAAAACGUGCAUUUUACUGUGUUGAUGCUAUUCAGGAUGCAAAUAGAAACAGCCAAAGUCCCAGCGCCUCAGCUGAGGGAAGACAGAAGCUGAACCAGGCGUGCGCUGUGGCUGUCCCCGUGCAGGCGGAGGAUCUGCGAACACCCCUGAUGCCGUACAAGGAUCACGAACCAGGAACCAAGAAGAGACAAACAGCCUGUCUUCUUCCUUGCAGCUUCUCCACCCACCCCUGACUAGUGAGUUUCCAUCCUGCACGCCUGUGCAUACGUGUGCUAGUGGCCUGUCACUGAGAAUUCUUCAGAACCAAAGAUGACUUCAACCCCCAGGGCCAUCAAGCAUCAGCUAUUAUUUUGCUUCUGCUGGGGCACACAAAUCAAGUUAGUUUCUACUCUUCAAGUGCACUUUCUUGCUUUGGAAGAGUUUUCUGAUUUCAGCUCCUGCUGCAGGCUUAAAUGGAACCUUACUGUGACCACGGCAGGAGGGACUUCUGCCUUCUCACAGCUUUCUGAUUGAGCUAAAAUUUUGAGGACAUUUCUAAGAAUUGCCACAGCUUAAUUCAACACUCUAAUUUUUGUUUAUGAUGCAAAUAAGAAUGGCCAUGGCUCUUCCUUAUACAUUUGAAUCGAUGAUUACAAAUAGCAUGUGUUGAACACGUUUCAUGAAAGAUUAACAGUUAUUUCACUUCACCCCUGCAGCAGCACCAAGGAGUAGAGAGUGUUACUGUCUCUGCUAGGAACAGAAAUGCAAAGUUUAAGGGGCUUGGCAAGAAGGCCACAUACCUAAGACACCCAUUCAGAUUCACCCAAGGCUCAUUUCCCUUCCAGGGCAGAGCUCCGGCACCUGUGCUGUGGGGAACCCACCACACUACAGAGCUUUAAAACCCUCACUUUGUGGGUGUCACAUCCUGCAGAGAAGCCUAGUCACUCUACAGGAGAUGUCACAGGGGAUCAGAUAAAUCUCAGGGGAAAGGGCUAGAGCUACUCUUUCGCCAGGAUUUGCACCUCUGAGGCUACUGGUGAAUCUUUCUUUAAGUCGGUAAAAUUUGUUUUUUAAUCCAAAAAUUCUCUGCGGAUCCUAGUUGGUUUUCAUGUUGGAUAAAUUUUGGCAAGACUCCAAAGGAGACCCCAGAGGCCGAGCGGGGGUAUGCUGUGGUGGGAAGAGAGUGCCCUUGGUGGAUUAGCAUUGCCCCUUUCAGACCCUUACCUGGUGUUAGUUUUCUAUGGCUUUGAACUCUCAUUAUUCUCACCUCUCAAAUGGGUAUAAUGAUAUCUACCUCAUGAGAUUACUGACAUAGAAGAAAGAACAUAUGCAGAGUGGCCAGCAAUUCCCAGCACAGAGUAGGUGCGUAGGGCGGGCUCCCAGGAAGCAGGUUCUGGGAAGCAGAUAUCCUGGUGGGUACCCUCAAGAGUAACUUACCUAAGGGAGGGAGGGGCCCGAUGGGCAGGGCGGAUGCCUAGCUGUGGUGCAGCUGCAAGUGAGACCUGUGCUGGUCAUUCGGGUGCUCUGGAGCUGGGAGCCCGUACACAUUUGAGGCAAGGUGCCUAGGCCUUGAGACCUCGCUGGGAACAGCCAUGAGAUUUGGUGCACCCCAGGGAGGGGCAUAUACCUUGGAAAAGAUGACUCCUUGGGGUGAGAGCAAUUCCUGGGGAGAGAUUCAGCUGGCGGCCUCCAGCAGCUCACCUUCCUGGAAGAUAGAAGUGUCUCCAGCCAGAGAGCCAUCUGGCAGUAUAGACAUCACUGCUUCCUCUGGUACAAGUGAGUUAGAACGUCCUGAACUUUUGAAGGUGUGCAUGAGGACAUACAAAUCUCGCUGACGGUGGCCAGUGCACUGUGAUCUGCCUGACCGAGAUUCUGGAAAACCAAGCUGCUGACAACUAGGGGUGCAAGAGCAUAAGCGAUGUAAAGAAAUAAAGAAUAAAGUCAACUAAAUUAUGGCAUCUCUCAUUCAAGAGCCUCAUGUGAUGGGAAGUAUGUGUUUCUUUCAAAGCCUCUGUUGCUUCUGAAGCCCCAUGAGACGAUCUUGUUGAUUCAUAAUCUUUAAUCCAGUCUUUAAGCUCUGACAGAUAAAGGACCAGGUACCAUUUCAUGUUCCUAAAGGGUAGGAGCGAGACCAUGAAGGCCUGGGUUCCACAGAGAAUAUGAUAAUUGCAUGGGGAAGUAUGAAAGUGAUGGCAUGCUUCUUAACUUUCAAAGAAGGGCAUCUUCUAAGUUGAUUUCCCUCAAGGUCUUAAGAAGGGCUGGAGGAAGGUAUCAAUUGUUUUGCAAUAACAAGAUUUCAUGACCAAGCAUGUUGAUGAAAUUUAGCACCCAUAUCUGAUUAAAAACUCUUUUUAAAACUAACAGUCAAAUGUUAAUGGAAAAACACUAGAUAAACAGUAAAUUAAGGAACAAAGGUCAUUAUGAUUAACGUUUCAAGUUAUUUUAUCCUUAGCCAAAGCAAUAAAAAGCAAUGUAAGUAAAUAAAAUGACUGGAAGAGAGUAAAAAAUCACUGUAAUCUGCGGAUGACGGAAUUGCCCUUUUAGUCAAGGCAGAUUUACAUGGAGUUAAUAAAUAUUAAGAUUUCAGGUCACACUUUUGCAUAGACCUCUGUAUAAUAUUUGCAAAACUAGUGUAUUUGUAUUAAAAUUGACGAAGACCAUGCUUUUCACCAUGUAUUCCUCCUUUAUAUUUCCUUUGUGUUUACUGGCAUUGAAGUGGCCACAAGCAUGUUGAGGAUCUGGGUAACUACAAGCCAAGUUAGGGCACCUGUGUUGGGACAGAUUAUGUAGCACUCAUUCCUUCAGGGCACCCCCAAGUAGGAAUGGCUUUUGCAAUAUACUUUCUUCUCACUGUGCCAUUGGACUUGACCUUGAACACAGUGUAGGAACAGGGGUCAAAUUGUUAUAGAUGUGUGGCCCAUGUUGCUCAGCAUCAGGAACUUGUAAGUAGAGUAGGAACUAAUUUGCCAUAAACAGAAUCAGAAGCUAGUCUGUAGGAAAGUAUCCCCCAAGCUAUGCAGAUCAUGUGAAUGAAAUGUGGCCUUUUCCAAAUUUGAUCACCAUCCUAAUAAUUUACAUGGCAUCCCCAACAGCAAGUUAUGAAAAAAAGGAAUUUUCCAACUAUCAAUAAUAAUAAACAACUUUUGAUCAACUGUGCUAGAGGUAAGACUAAAUUAUCUAUGUUGUUUUAUUAUUUUUUUUAGAGAUAGAUUCUGUCUCUGUCACCCAGACUGGAGUGCAGUGGUGCCAUCAUAGCUGACUGCAGCCUCUAACCACUGGACUCAAGCGACCUCCCUGCCUUAGUCUCCAGAGUAGCUAGGACUAUCGGUGCGUGCAACCAUGCCCAGCUAAUUUUUUUUUUUUUUUGUAAAGAUAGGGUCUCACUGUGUUGCCUAGGCUGGUCUCGAACUCCUGGCUUCAAGCGAUCCUCCAUCCUUGGCCUCCCAAAGUGUUGGGAUUACAGACAUGAGCCACUGUGCCUGGCCUCUAUAUUCUGUAUAGAAAAAUAUUCAUUAUUCAUCAACAUGUGAAGAGGUGAUCAAACAGCAUUUGGCUAAAAAGGUAUGAAAAGGAGAAUUGGAAACAGGUGUCAAGUAAUUCAUGAAUAAGAUCUUAUGUUGCCCUUCUGGAGUGUAUGCAUUUUCUAGUAUUGGUUAAUUUAAAAAAAUAAAUUUGGUGUUGUGAUUUCUUUACUUAUUUUAAAUAUUCUUUUAAUACUUGAUUUUGUAUUCAUAUUUUUAAUUUUUUUCAGGUGAUUAGGUAUCUUCAGAUAAAUAUUUGGUCUUUCAUUUUAGACCCUCUCAUGCCCGGCCCACCCACACACAAAUACAUUCUCUUUCUCAUUCUGGUAUGUUGGUAUGGGAAUAGGCCAAGCAGUAAUGUGGCCCAGCCAAGGACCAGGGAGCUUUGGAGGUGGAACUGCACCGUGGGGCCUCCCAGGGAAUGCCUUUCACUCUCUCAUGUCCUUAGAUAUCACCAUACUUCCUUGGAUGGACACAUUCAAGAUCAGUGUUACCUGCCAAUUCUUGGAUCAUUCCAAAAUUUGGCGUUGAAUCAACUCCCUUUCCUCUUGAAUGUCCCACAAUGCCCUGCGAUAAG
Molecule: long non-coding RNA, 6365 nt
Filed under: Homo sapiens (human)
Lineage: Eukaryota; Metazoa; Chordata; Mammalia; Primates; Hominidae
Description: HSALNT0157882
Source: RNAcentral